Molecule: long non-coding RNA, 595 nt
Organism: Pygocentrus nattereri (red-bellied piranha)
Lineage: Eukaryota; Metazoa; Chordata; Actinopteri; Characiformes; Serrasalmidae
Exons: 4
Source: RefSeq, a predicted model, not a curated record
GACUGAGCAUCAGAAUGGGGAAGAAAGAGAUUCCAUCUUUGUUGACAGACAUGAAAAAGAUUCUCACCAAUAAUAAUACCACCAAAGAUCUCACUGUCCGUUAGGAUGGAAGUGAAGGUGAAGCUGUACCUUGUAAACCUUCAGAAGUGAAAUUGGGGAAUGAUGGCACUACCUCUGUCUCACCUCAUUGUUGGGAGACUGCAAAAGCACAACCUACAGCCAGUGGGAUGGCACGAGUGCUGCUAAUGGGCCUCUUUAGUGUUGAUGUUCUCCUGAAAUCCAACCUGACUGGAGGGCUCAACAAGGUCAAUCCUACUGCAGAGCGACGCCAGCCUCUCGGUCUCUCGAUGGGAAAAACUACAAGCUUUACUUGCUGCUGGCAAAAAGUAGUAAAGCAAGGACCAGAACAUAUUUCCUGUUCCACGCCAGACCACCUUUAACAGGCCCCUGGACAGUCUGGCAGUGGGGGCUACAUGUCCAACCCAAAACAGUUAGGAGCCCAAUAUUUAUUCAAUUUAACUGUUUUUCUCGGUCUCUUUGAAAGAUAUUGUCUUUAGUUGUUUACUAAAAUAAAUAAGCAAGUGUUUUAUUGGUA